AGGCCCUGACCCGCGCUGGACCCGCGCGCUAGGGCCCUGACGGCCCGCGCGGGCUCCAGGCGCGGGCAGCGGGGACGGCAUGCCCGAGAAGAGGCUCACCGCGGAGCCACCAACUAUUACAGAAGAAGAAUUUGAAGAUUCUCUGGCAACAGAUGAUUUCCUUGUAGACUACUUUAAUGAAUUCCUAAGCCUUCCAGUGAGUUUAUUAUUAUGAUCUAUUGAAUAUAUAUUAUCAAAGCAAAAUAUUUUAAUCACUGGGUUAUCUUGUGAAACCAAUUUAUCAGGGAUAAUGCUUUUUAAAAAAAUAUUAAAGCAUUUAGGUAAAGGUUUUAUCUUUUUACAUAGUUAAUCAUUUGGAUUUGAAUCAUAUUUAGAAAUUAUUCUUAUUGAAGAAAUCUGGAGUUUUUCUAACCAUUAAAAAGCAUUCUGUACAAACUCUGGUUCAGCUGUAUUUGGCACCAUGUUAGGCUUUUUUUUUUGA
RNAcentral lists this long non-coding RNA (481 nucleotides) under Homo sapiens (human). RNAcentral's name for it is "non-protein coding lnc-FBXO43-3:1". Lineage: Eukaryota; Metazoa; Chordata; Mammalia; Primates; Hominidae. The record is from RNAcentral.